UGACUUGCAGGUUCAUUUUGUUUGU
This 25-nucleotide non-coding RNA is filed under the name Mus musculus (house mouse). Lineage: Eukaryota; Metazoa; Chordata; Mammalia; Rodentia; Muridae. The record is from RNAcentral.